UGAGCCAGAAAUAUGUACAGUGGUUGUGAACGUUUUAAACCUGGAGUCGAGGAAACCUGAACUACUUGUUUUAUGGUUUCAUGGAAAAAGAGCAAAUUUCUCACAUUGGUUUUGUUUCUGAUCAGA
This is a long non-coding RNA of Phyllostomus discolor (pale spear-nosed bat), 126 nucleotides long. RefSeq lists it as uncharacterized. The record is from RefSeq and is a predicted model, not a curated record. The transcript is spliced from 3 exons. NCBI's taxonomy places the organism in Eukaryota, Metazoa, Chordata, Mammalia, Chiroptera, Phyllostomidae.